RNAcentral lists this ribosomal RNA (162 nucleotides) under Pinguicula caussensis. RNAcentral's name for it is "5.8S ribosomal RNA". It matches the Rfam family "5.8S ribosomal RNA". From Rfam's summary of the family: 5.8S ribosomal RNA (5.8S rRNA) is a component of the large subunit of the eukaryotic ribosome. It is transcribed by RNA polymerase I as part of the 45S precursor that also contains 18S and 28S rRNA. Functionally, it is thought that 5.8S rRNA may be involved in ribosome translocation. The record is from RNAcentral. Lineage: Eukaryota; Viridiplantae; Streptophyta; Magnoliopsida; Lamiales; Lentibulariaceae.
ACUCUCGGCAACGGAUAUCUCGGCUCUCGCAUCGAUGAAGAACGUAGCAAAAUGCGAUACUUGGUGUGAAUUGCAGAAUCCCGUGAACCAUCGAAUAUUUGAACGCAAGUUGCGCCCGAAGCCAUCCGGCCGAGGGCACGCCUGCCUGGGCGUCACGCAUCG